UCUCCUACGGGGGGCAGCAGUGGGGAAUAUUGCACAAUGGGGGAAACCCUGAUGCAGCGACGCCGCGUGAGUGAAGAAGUAUCUCGGUAUGUAAAGCUCUAUCAGCAGGGAAGAAAAUGACGGUACCUGACUAAGAAGCCCCGGCUAACUACGUGCCAGCAGCCGCGGCAAUACGUAGGGGGCAAGCGUUAUCCGGAUUUACUGGGUGUAAAGGGAGCGUAGACGGCGCUGCAAGUCCGGAGUGAAAGCCCAUG
Molecule: ribosomal RNA, 254 nt
Filed under: uncultured bacterium
Lineage: Bacteria
Description: partial 16S ribosomal RNA
Rfam family: Bacterial small subunit ribosomal RNA
Source: RNAcentral